GCAGCACGUCUUCGGAUGGUGGCGACCGGCGCACGGGUGAGUAACGCGUAUGCAACCUACUUGUAACUGGGGGAUAGCUCCCUGAAAGGGGAAUUAACACCGCAUAAGACCACGCUUUCGCAUGGAAGAGUGGUAAAAUAUUUAUAGGUUACAGAUGGGCAUGCGUGACAUUAGUUUGUUGGUGAGGUAACGGCUCACCAAGACUACGAUGUCUAGGGGUUCUGAGAGGAAGGUCCCCCACACUGGUACUGAGACACGGACCAGACUCCUACGGGAGGCAGCAGUGAGGAAUAUUGGUCAAUGGGCGCAAGCCUGAACCAGCCAUGUCGCGUGCAGGAAGACGGCCCUAUGGGUUGUAAACUGCUUUUGUAUGGGAAGAAAGUGUUCGACGUGUCGAAUAUUGCCGGUACCAUACGAAUAAGGAUCGGCUAACUCCGUGCCAGCAGCCGCGGUAAUACGGAGGAUCCGAGCGUUAUCCGGAUUUAUUGGGUUUAAAGGGUGCGUAGGCGGAAUGGUAAGUCAGAGGUGAAAUCCUGCAGCUCAACUGUAGAAUAGCCUUUGAAACUGUCAUUCUUGAGUACAUUUGAGGUAGGCGGAAUGUGGUGUGUAGCGGUGAAAUGCAUAGAUAUACCACAGAACACCGAUUGCGAAGGCAGCUUACUAAACUGUAACUGACGCUGAGGCACGAAAGCGUGGGUAUCAAACAGGAUUAGAUACCCUGGUAGUCCACGCUGUAAACGAUGAUUACUGGUUGUUU
This 757-nucleotide ribosomal RNA is filed under the name uncultured Bacteroidota bacterium. RNAcentral describes it as "bacterial SSU rRNA". It matches the Rfam family "Bacterial small subunit ribosomal RNA", at positions 69 to 825 of the family's 1533-position model. Lineage: Bacteria; Pseudomonadati; Bacteroidota. The record is from RNAcentral.